UUUUAUGUAAUUUCUUUACAAUUUCUAUCAUCACAGGAUAUCAGUGCCCUCCCCAGUUACACACAUCCUUUUCAUUGCAAAGACUGUCUGAAAGAUGGAAUCAGUUCAGUAAUCUGGAAAAUGAGUCCCUAGGAGAAAGAAUGCAGAAAAGAAACUACAUAAUCAUUUGAAGUUUUCUAUGAUGCAUCAAGCGUGAGAUUACUAGGGAACAAAUCAGUAGUUCCGAAGGAGGCAAAAUGAUGCAUAGGCAGUGCAGCUGAAGCACAGACUAUAAAUGGAAAUCAGGAAUCACACUGGAUAUGUUGCUGUCUGACUCUACAGGUGCUGUGCUGCGUCUCCACAGAGCUCAGGUGUCUUCUGAAGGCAAAUUACUUCAUAACCAGCACAGAACACGGUACUGUUGCCUAAAGGGUUAAAUUAUUUUUUAUCAGCUGACAAUCUUUGAAGCGUAAGUUUGUAAGUAUACCAGCAGGGAAAAAUUAAAGUGCUCCAGAU
Molecule: long non-coding RNA, 495 nt
Organism: Cyanistes caeruleus (blue tit)
Lineage: Eukaryota; Metazoa; Chordata; Aves; Passeriformes; Paridae
Source: RefSeq, a predicted model, not a curated record